AUGGUGGCGUGGAGGGAGAGCUACCUGGACCUGAUCCUGAUCCCGCUGGGCCUGCUGCUGCCGGCGCUGUACCACGCCUGGCUGUGGCGGGCCGUGCGGCGCCGCCCGCUCUCCACGGCCUUCGGGGUCUACUCGGCGGCGCGCAGGCUCUGGGCGGCCGGCAUGAUGCGGGACAACGACGACAAGAAGGGGGUGCUGGUUGUGCAGUCGCUGCGGAACGUCAUCAUGGGGUCCACGCUCAUGGCCACCACGUCGGUGCUCUUCUGCACGGGCAUCGCCGCCGUGCUCAGCAGCACCUACUCCGUCAAGAAGCCGCUGAGCGACGCCGUGUUCGGCGCGCACGGGGAGUACAUGAUGGCGCUCAAGUACGUGGCGCUGCUGCUCGUCUUCCUCUUCGCCUUCCUCUGCCACACCCUCACCAUCUGCUUCCUCAACCAAGCCAGCUUCCUCAUCAACACCUCCUGCCUCCCCCUCCCCGACGCCGGUAAGGACGACGACGGCGCCCGCCUGGUCGGCCUGCAGCUGCCGGCCGGCGCCGUCGGCGACUACGUGGGCGAGAUCCUGGAGAGGAGCUUCACGCUCAACUUCAUCGGCAACAGGCUCUUCUACGCCGGGGUGCCCCUCCUGCUCUGGAUCUUCGGCCCGGUGCUCGCCUUCCUCUCCGCCGUGGUCAUGAUCCCCAUACUCUACAACCUCGACAUGGUUAACGUCGCCGCCGACAGAGGAACGAAGGAACACAGCAGCGGCUGCGUCAACGGCAAGGCGAACGGGAACGGCUGCAUGCAAGUCUGA
This 792-nucleotide ribosomal RNA is filed under the name Triticum aestivum (bread wheat). Its description in RNAcentral is "partial small subunit ribosomal RNA". The record is from RNAcentral. Lineage: Eukaryota; Viridiplantae; Streptophyta; Magnoliopsida; Poales; Poaceae.